RNAcentral lists this ribosomal RNA (253 nucleotides) under uncultured bacterium. Its description in RNAcentral is "partial 16S ribosomal RNA". It matches the Rfam family "Bacterial small subunit ribosomal RNA", at positions 524 to 776 of the family's 1533-position model. The record is from RNAcentral.
UACGUAGGUGGCGAGCGUUGUUCGGAUUUAUUGGGCGUAAAGCGCGUGUAGGCGGUUUCUUAAGUCUGAUGUGAAAGCCCUGGGCUCAACCCAGGAAGUGCAUUGGAUACUGGGAGACUUGAAUACGGGAGAGGGUAGUGGAAUUCCUAGUGUAGGAGUGAAAUCCGUAGAUAUUAGGAGGAACACCGGUGGCGAAGGCGGCUACCUGGACCGAUAUUGACGCUGAGACGCGAAAGCGUGGGGAGCAAACAGG